This is a long non-coding RNA of Micropterus dolomieu (smallmouth bass), 330 nucleotides long. RefSeq lists it as uncharacterized. The transcript is spliced from 3 exons. The record is from RefSeq and is a predicted model, not a curated record. NCBI's taxonomy places the organism in Eukaryota, Metazoa, Chordata, Actinopteri, Centrarchiformes, Centrarchidae.
CUGUUGUUUGUCGUGGCUCCCUGUUACCCUGCUCCCUUUGGAUAUCUGUUUGGACUACCUGAGUUUUUGGACUCUGUAUUCAGCCACUCACCUACAUGACUUUCAGGCAAUGGCUGUGCCGUUCACGCUACACAACUUGCCGUCUUGAAGGCAUUGUGGUGUCGACACUACAUGACUGAGCUGACUAGAACUCUGUCACCCAAUGCUGGUCUCCAAACCAAGCUGAAGGAAGAAGGAACAGGAGGAGGAGCUGCAGGAGCAAUAAGAGCUGCAGGAGAAGGUCAAGGAAAAAAAGCUGCAGGCGGAGGAGGAGAAGCAGGAGGAGAAGGA